RNAcentral lists this ribosomal RNA (784 nucleotides) under uncultured Alphaproteobacteria bacterium. RNAcentral's name for it is "bacterial SSU rRNA". It matches the Rfam family "Bacterial small subunit ribosomal RNA", at positions 53 to 886 of the family's 1533-position model. The record is from RNAcentral. Lineage: Bacteria; Pseudomonadati; Pseudomonadota; Alphaproteobacteria.
ACAUGCAAGUCGAACGGGGUCUUCGGACCUAGUGGCGCACGGGUGAGUAACAUGUAGGAAUCUACCUAAAGGUUCGGAAUAACUGCGGGAAACUGUAGCUAAUACCGGAUGUGUCUGCAAAGAGAAAGAUUUAUCGCCUUUAGAUGAGCCUGCACUAGAUUAGUUUGUUGGUGAGGUAAAAGCUCACCAAGACUUCGAUCUAUAGCUGAUUUGAGAGGAUGAUCAGCCACACUGGGACUGAGACACGGCCCAGACUCCUACGGGAGGCAGCAGUGGGGAAUAUUGGACAAUGGGGGAAACCCUGAUCCAGCAAUGCCGCGUGAGUGAAGAAGGCCCUCGGGUUGUAAAACUCUUUCAUCAGUGAAGAUAAUGACAUUAACUGAAGAAGAAGCUCCGGCUAACUCCGUGCCAGCAGCCGCGGUAAUACGGAGGGGGCUAGCGUUGUUCGGAAUUACUGGGCGUAAAGCGCAUGUAGGCGGAUCAAAAAGUUAGAUGUGAAAUCCCUGAGCUUAACUCAGGAACUGCAUUUAAAACUAGUGAUCUAGAAAUUGGUAGAGGAUAGUAGAAUUUCCAGUGUAGAGGUGAAAUUCGUAGAUAUUGGAAAGAAUACCAGAGGCGAAGGCGACUAUCUGGGCCAAAUUUGACGCUGAGAUGCGAAAGCGUGGGUAGCAAACAGGAUUAGAUACCCUGGUAGUCCACGCAGUAAACGAUGAGUGCUAGUCGCUGGGUCAAUAGAUUCGGUGUCGUAGCUAACGCAUUAAGCACUCCGCCUGGGAAGUACGGU